This 253-nucleotide ribosomal RNA is filed under the name uncultured bacterium. Its description in RNAcentral is "partial 16S ribosomal RNA". It matches the Rfam family "Bacterial small subunit ribosomal RNA", at positions 524 to 776 of the family's 1533-position model. The record is from RNAcentral.
UACGCAGGGUCCGAGCGUUGUCCGGAAUUACUGGGCGUAAAGAGCUCGUAGGUGGUUUGUCGCGUUGUUCGUGAAAACUCACAGCUCAACUGUGGGCGUGCGGGCGAUACGGGCAGACUUGAGUACUGCAGGGGAGACUGGAAUUCCUGGUGUAGCGGUGGAAUGCGCAGAUAUCAGGAGGAACACCGGUGGCGAAGGCGGGUCUCUGGGCCGAUACUGACGCUGAGGAGCGAAAGCGUGGGGAUCAAACAGG